RNAcentral lists this ribosomal RNA (1157 nucleotides) under Salmonella enterica subsp. enterica serovar Hadar. RNAcentral describes it as "partial 23S ribosomal RNA". It matches the Rfam family "Bacterial large subunit ribosomal RNA", at positions 566 to 1556 of the family's 2925-position model. Lineage: Bacteria; Pseudomonadati; Pseudomonadota; Gammaproteobacteria; Enterobacterales; Enterobacteriaceae. The record is from RNAcentral.
CCACCACCAAAGCAUUCUCUGGUGUUGAAGGCCCUGCAAAGCAGCAUCGCGGUGGCGGAGCGUCGUUUGCGACGCCCAACGCACAAAACAAGCGGUGAGUGCUUUGGGGUGGGGUGACUGCGUACCUUUUGUAUAAUGGGUCAGCGACUUAUAUUCUGUAGCAAGGUUAACCGCAUAGGGGAGCCGUAGGGAAACCGAGUCUUAACCGGGCGUUAAGUUGCAGGGUAUAGACCCGAAACCCGGUGAUCUAGCCAUGGGCAGGUUGAAGGUUGGGUAACACUAACUGGAGGACCGAACCGACUAAUGUUGAAAAAUUAGCGGAUGACCUGUGGCUGGGGGUGAAAGGCCAAUCAAACCGGGAGAUAGCUGGUUCUCCCCGAAAGCUAUUUAGGUAGCGCCUCGUGAAUUCAUCUCCGGGGGUAGAGCACUGUUUCGGCUAGGGGGCCAUCCCGGCUUACCAACCCGAUGCAAACUGCGAAUACCGGAGAAUGUUAUCACGGGAGACACACGGCGGGUGCUAACGUCCGUCGUGAAGAGGGAAACAACCCAGACCGCCAGCUAAGGUCCCAAAGUCAUGGUUAAGUGGGAAACGAUGUGGGAAGGCCCAGACAGCCAGGAUGUUGGCUUAGAAGCAGCCAUCAUUUAAAGAAAGCGUAAUAGCUCACUGGUCGAGUCGGCCUGCGCGGAAGAUGUAACGGGGCUAAACCAUGCACCGAAGCUGCGGCAGCGAACGUAUCACCCAAGACAACUUUGCGGAGUUGACGAUUGACGGAGCGAAGCGACGUCAAAGCGUUCAUUAAAGUCGAGUUGGCUUAGGGAUACGUUCGUUGGGUAGGGGAGCGUUCUGUAAGCCUGUGAAGGUGGCCUGUGAGGGUUGCUGGAGGUAUCAGAAGUGCGAAUGCUGACAUAAGUAACGAUAAAGCGGGUGAAAAGCCCGCUCGCCGGAAGACCAAGGGUUCCUGUCCAACGUUAAUCGGGGCAGGGUGAGUCGACCCCUAAGGCGAGGCCGAAAGGCGUAGUCGAUGGGAAACGGGUUAAUAUUCCCGUACUUGGUGUUACUGCGAAGGGGGGACGGAGAAGGCUAUGUUGGCCGGGCGACGGUUGUCCCGGUUUAAGCGUGUAGGUGUGUGUUCCAGGUAAAUCCGGUUCACUUUAAC